CCCCGCUGGGCUGCAUUGGAGCCGGGGCCCGCGGAGCCGCGACCUGACAGUACCAGAGUUGAAGGAGCCGGGACGCGCAAAGGCGCGUGGAACCCGGGAGGGGACCGGUGCCUGCGAACGGCCCGAGCAAGGUGGACUGAACUCUAAGAUUAAUCCUUCCGGAGAAGAUUAUAUUCUUGCUCUUAAGCCUGGUUUACAUAGUUCCCACUAAUCUUCAGAGAAGUCACCUCAGAGAGCAAACUUUGCACCAGUCGCUCUUUUCCGUCCUCCUUUCAAGAUUUGUGACACUUACAUCGUCAAGCUUAUUUCGGUUGAUCUGUACAAUAUUUUGUCCCCCAGAAGAACCCUUGAGUAUUUUCCACGAUGGAUCACGCCUGACUGAUAGGAAGUGUUCAAUAAAUGUGACUCCAAAGAGCUCAUGUGUUAGGCAAUGGAGAAAUGUUCAGAGGCGAAAGGAUUGGAUUAUGAGAACUGUAAAUAAAAGUGAAUAUAGUGCAGCAAGGAAUAAUUGUGUCCAGUGAUUUCGGCUCUAGGAUGACUUCUUUAGUUUAAAAUGCUCCAUUCUCUCCCACUUCAAUUCCCAAGCCCUUCUUUCUCCAUACAGAUCCAGAAGCUACUAAGAAAUGUGACAUUUGUCCAAAGGGCCAUCUAAUCCCAAGUUUC
This 663-nucleotide long non-coding RNA is filed under the name Ictidomys tridecemlineatus (thirteen-lined ground squirrel). RNAcentral describes it as "lncRNA (ENSSTOG00000032454.1)". The record is from RNAcentral. Lineage: Eukaryota; Metazoa; Chordata; Mammalia; Rodentia; Sciuridae.